UUCAGGUAACAUCAAAUCGUACCCCAAACCGACACAGGUGGUCAGGUAGAGAAUACCAAGGCGCUUGAGAGAACUCGGGUGAAGGAACUAGGCAAAAUGGUGCCGUAACUUCGGGAGAAGGCACGCUGAUAUGUAGGUGAAGCGACUUGCUCGUGGAGCUGAAAUCAGUCGAAGAUACCAGCUGGCUGCAACUGUUUAUUAAAAACACAGUACUGUGCAAACACGAAAGUGGACGUAUACGGUGUGACGCCUCCCCGGUGCCGGAAGGUUAAUUGAUGGGGUUAGCGCAAGCGAAGCUCUUGAUCGAAGCCCCGGUAAACGGCGGCCGUAACAAUAACGGUCCUAAGGUAGCGAAAUUCCUUGUCGGGUAAGUUCCGACCUGCACGAAUGGCGUAAUGAUGGCCAGGCUGUCUCCACCCGAGACUCAGUGAAAUUGAACUCGCUGUGAAGAUGCAGUGUACCCGCGGCAAGACGGAAAGACCCCGUGAACCUUUACUAUAGCUUGACACUGAACAUUGAGCCUUGAUGUGUAGGAUAGGUGGGAGGCUUAGAAGUGUGGACGCCAGUCUGCAUGGAGCCGACCUUGAAAUACCACCCUUUAAUGUUUGAUGUUCUAACGUUGACCCGUAAUCCGGGUUGCGGACAGUGUCUGGUGGGUAGUUUGACUGGGGCGGUCUCCUCCUAAAGAGUAACGGAGGAGCACGAAGGUUGGCUAAUCCUGGUCGGACAUCAGGAGGUUAGUGCAAUGGCAUAAGCCAGCUUGACUGCGAGCGUGACGGCGCGAGCAGGUGCGAAAGCAGGUCAUAGUGAUCCGGUGGUUCUGAAUGGAAGGGCCAUCGCUCAACGGAUAAAAGGUACUCCGGGGAUAACAGGCUGAUACCGCCCAAGAGUUCAUAUCGACGGCGGUGUUUGGCACCUCGAUGUCGGCUCAUCACAUCCUGGGGCUGAAGUAGGUCCCAAUGGUAUGGCUGUUCGCCAUUUAAAGUGGUACGCGAGCUGGGUUUAGAACGUCGUGAGACAGUUCGGUCCCUAUCUGCCGUGGGCGCUGGAGAACUGAGGGGGGCUGCUCCUAGUACGAGAGGACCGGAGUGGACGCAUCACUGGUGUUCGGGUUGUCAUGCCAAUGGCACUGCCCGGUAGCUAAAUGCGGAAGAGAUAAGUGCUGAAAGCAUCUAAGCACGAAACUUGCCCCGAGAUGAGUUCUCCCUGACCCUUUAAGGGUCCUGAAGGAACGUUGAAGACGACGACGUUGAUAGGCCGUGUGUGUAAGCGCAGCGAUGCGUUGAGCUAACCGGUACUA
Molecule: ribosomal RNA, 1300 nt
Filed under: metagenome
Description: bacterial LSU rRNA
Rfam family: Bacterial large subunit ribosomal RNA
Source: RNAcentral